GAUGAACGCUGGCGGCGUGCCUAAUACAUGCAAGUCGAGCGAACGGACGAGAAGCUUGCUUCUCUGAUGUUAGCGGCGGACGGGUGAGUAACACGUGGAUAACCUACCUAUAAGACUGGGAUAACUUCGGGAAACCGGAGCUAAUACCGGAUAAUAUUUUGAACCGCAUGGUUCAAAAGUGAAAGACGGUCUUGCUGUCACUUAUAGAUGGAUCCGCGCUGCAUUAGCUAGUUGGUAAGGUAACGGCUUACCAAGGCAACGAUGCAUAGCCGACCUGAGAGGGUGAUCGGCCACACUGGAACUGAGACACGGUCCAGACUCCUACGGGAGGCAGCAGUAGGGAAUCUUCCGCAAUGGGCGAAAGCCUGACGGAGCAACGCCGCGUGAGUGAUGAAGGUCUUCGGAUCGUAAAACUCUGUUAUUAGGGAAGAACAUAUGUGUAAGUAACUGUGCACAUCUUGACGGUACCUAAUCAGAAAGCCACGGCUAACUACGUGCCAGCAGCCGCGGUAAUACGUAGGUGGCAAGCGUUAUCCGGAAUUAUUGGGCGUAAAGCGCGCGUAGGCGAUUUUUUAAGUCUGAUGUGAAAGCCCACGGCUCAACCGUGGAGGGUCAUUGGAAACUGGAAAACUUGAGUGCAGAAGAGGAAAGUGGAAUUCCAUGUGUAGCGGUGAAAUGCGCAGAGAUAUGGAGGAACACCAGUGGCGAAGGCGACUUUCUGGUCUGUAACUGACGCUGAUGUGCGAAAGCGUGGGGAUCAAACAGGAUUAGAUACCCUGGUAGUCCACGCCGUAAACGAUGAGUGCUAAGUGUUAGGGGGUUUCCGCCCCUUAGUGCUGCAGCUAACGCAUUAAGCACUCCGCCUGGGGAGUACGACCGCAAGGUUGAAACUCAAAGGAAUUGACGGGGACCCGCACAAGCGGUGGAGCAUGUGGUUUAAUUCGAAGCAACGCGAAGAACCUUACCAAAUCUUGACAUCCUUUGACAACUCUAGAGAUAGAGCCUUCCCCUUCGGGGGGGCAAAGUGACAGGUGGUGCAUGGUUGUCGUCAGCUCGUGUCGUGAGAUGUUGGGUUAAGUCCCGCAACGAGCGCAACCCUUAAGCUUAGUUGCCAUCAUUAAGUUGGGCACUCUAAGUUGACUGCCGGUGACAAACCGGAGGAAGGUGGGGAUGACGUCAAAUCAUCAUGCCCCUUAUGAUUUGGGCUACACACGUGCUACAAUGGACAAUACAAAGGGCAGCGAAACCGCGAGGUCAAGCAAAUCCCAUAAAGUUGUUCUCAGUUCGGAUUGUAGUCUGCAACUCGACUACAUGAAGCUGGAAUCGCUAGUAAUCGUAGAUCAGCAUGCUACGGUGAAUACGUUCCCGGGUCU
RNAcentral lists this ribosomal RNA (1373 nucleotides) under uncultured bacterium. RNAcentral's name for it is "bacterial SSU rRNA". It matches the Rfam family "Bacterial small subunit ribosomal RNA", at positions 28 to 1381 of the family's 1533-position model. The record is from RNAcentral.